AUGAAAAUAUAGUUUGCAUUCUUAGAACAGAUAAGAUUACUCAUGUAAGCAGAUAAUACCCUGUACAUAAGAUUUAAGUAAAGAGAACAUUGUUUUCACAUGUUAGAAUUAAGUUCAUAUUGGUGUAAAAAAUUUUGUUUUAGAAGUGUGUUUUUAGCUGAUUAGAUGAUUUAUGGAUUUAAUCCCCUGUAUUGGAGAUCAGAAUCCAUCCAUCCAUCCAUCCAUCCAUCCAUCCAUCCACCCACCCACCCAUCCAUCAAUCUAUCAGACCGAGGAAGAACAGCAGCUCCAUCAUCACCAACUGCUUCUACAGCCCAGGACAACAGAGCUCCAUGCUGAGAAGCUGCUGCCCCGAACACUGGGACCUUAUACCAGAGAGCUGCUGCUCAGAACUCAGGACUUUAUGCCAAAACUUUUGCUUACAGUAACAGUGUCCUCUUCCCAGAAGAAGGUCACAUUUUCUGGUGGACUGGGCUUUACUAAGAAGAAGAGAAACAAAUUUUGCUAAGGCAUCCUAAAAAGCACUUUACAUUUAAAAUAAUUUUUUCCUACCUUGGCUCAAUAUUUCAGUGAGUAGUAAGAGAAAAAGGUGGAUUUUCUUCUUGGAGGUUCUGCUUUUGCAGCUGACCUCCCUAUUAAACAUCAAAAUGGAGCAUGACACCACAACACUGUUCACCAUUUCAGAUGCCACAUUCAAAGACAGUAACUCAUGUCAGGAACCUAUUGCAGCUACUUAAAGAAAGGACUUUGGUCUCCUCACACUCCCUGCAAUCCAGACAAAGAAACAAGCUUCCUCUUGGGAAAUGAAGUGACAAAUUCAGUUCUACAAAACCUCCAAGAGAGACUUUUACAGUUGCUGGGGGCUAUGUGGGAUAUGGUGGGGUAUCUGCAAAAGCCCUGGGCUAUCUAUGCACAGCUGAAUCUGCCCCUCACUGUUUUCAGAGGGUCUGAAGACAACUCCAUGGCUUGACCUACACAGCUGGUAAGUCUUCAGCAGUGUGAAAUAAAGGGCUGAAAAGAGUGCUACCUGCUUUCUCAAUCCUUCUAGUUGCCUUUUUGUAUUAUGAAAACUCUGCCUUCCUAAUUUAAAGACUUCAGUCUGAUCCUUGAUAUUUGUCCUUUGUUACCUAAGAUUUUGAAAUUAAUUUUGUUAUUGGUGGCUGUUUAAUAAUGAAAAUUUGAGGACCAUGCUGCAGUUUUCCAUAAUUUAACAGUUUUUGGUAAAAUUAGGAGAUACAAAAGUAUUCUCAGUUUGAUGCCUUGACAGGUUUGUGUUUAAUCUCUUUUGCUAAAACAUUAUCAUUAAAUUUGAAAUAUGUUUUUCAGAUAAUUCUCCACUGUAUAUCUCUUGUGUGAUUUCUAUUAGAAAAAAAUCCCUACUUUUAAUGAUGUGGGUAUGUGAAAUUCCAGAAGCUUAUAUAUUUAGUAUUUUCAUUUGGAUUUUGAAACUGUAUUUUGGGACAAAUCUGACUGUCUUAUCUCAUUUGAUUGCAGCUGCACACAGCCUAUGUAACUGCAGGGAACAAAAAUCAGCAUGAAAUAACUGUAGUUUUGUUUUGACGUGCACACUACAGUAAUAAUAUUUUAUAUGCCAUAUAACUGAUUUCUUCUCUAACACAGAGAACUAGAAAAUCUGCCAAAGUAGUCAUGAUUUUUCAUACUUACUGUAAAAAUCAGCUUUUAAUUUUUUAAAAAAAAAUUCUUCACUUCCGUUGCUGUUCCUGAUAGAAAUGGCAAGGGUAGGUCCUUCUGUCUUAAAAAGACAUCCAGAAUUAUAAUCUUGAUCCAAUAAAUAGGUGGUACAUGGCUUCCAAACUUUGUCCUUGCCUUCACUAAAUCUGUAAAUAAAAUAAUCUUGGUAAAUGGAAAACUUAACAAUUAAAACAAUUAAUUAAUUUUUAUACUGCUCUCUCUUUUUUAUUUCUUUUUUUCAUUUUUUCAAAUGCUACACUGAGGAAAGUCUGAGCAUGGUUUUUCUUGAAGUGACAAAUUUCACAGUGGUGUGAGGGAAUUAAUCAGCCAAACUACCCAAAUUCCAGCCUUGGGUUUUGAUGCAGUCUGAAGUAAUCAAGUUUCAUUCUUGCUGUUGUUUUCCAAUAAGAGUGACUUGCUCAAACAGAUGCUCUCAUGAUCCUGUUUUCAGGACUGUACUGUGAAAAGUUCUUCCAUGGAUAUGACCCAGAAAUAAAAGAAAAGUACUAUGAUUGUCUUGAACUAAAAUAUUACACUUCUGCUAGUCAGUAAUGAUGGUAGUUAAUAAGGAAAAUAUACACACCUAUGUGGAAAAAACACUUUCAGUGGUGUAAUUAGCCUUAACAUUUAAGCACAAUGAUGGAAGAGGGACAAAUCUUUCCUAUCAUGUCUGUUGUGACUGAUUACUCACCAGGUUUAUUGAUUUGUACACUUCUGCAGGUUGUGAAUAUAAAUAGGUUUAAUGCUGGAUAUUAACAAAUGUUAGAAGCAUUUCUAGUUCACAGAAGACUCAAAUGGACUUUAAGAUUUCAUUCUCCCUAAGUAAAUGCUUUAACAAGAGAGGAAUAGGCACUGACAAUACUCACGUGUAAAAAAAUGACACAUUCUCAUUAUGGAAAAGCUCUCUUGUUGCCCAUGUGAUCUGCAUCUUCUCAUUGUUGAAGUUGAUGAUCGUGGUGUUGAUGGCAUUUUUCUCACCUGCUCAGGACAUUUACGGAGAAUACGAUUUCAGGAGGACAGAGGAUUCCACAAUCAGACACUGAAGAUAAACCUGAUAUUGAAGAAAUGGAGAAAUUAAGAAAGCAGAAGGAUUAGAAGUCUAUUCUAUAUUUUAAAAAAUUAUUUAUUUUGCAUUCUAUAAGAUGUGAAAUUGUGUUUACUUGAGUGAAUAAAGAGGAAGAAAAUAUAUCAGCAAGAAACAAUUUGAAGGUAAAAUUUUCAGACUUCUCUGUCCAGCUGUGAAGUGUCUAACACUAAAAAUCUUUGUUGGAAUAUUCUUGUCUAGAAGGAGAAUAGAAGAUUUUAGCUUUGAUUGCUGUGUGCAUUUUAUGCUCCUCUGGACUUUUGAAGGGGUUUGAAAUUUUAAAAUAUUUCUUUAUGAGCUAUUUAUCAUAUCCAGCCAUUCUGAUUACUUCAUGGGAAUCAAGAAUAACUAUUCUCAUGGUUGCUAUUUGUUGCUCUGUAAUCAACAUGAAGAAUGUGAGACGUGGGUUCGAGUAAGAAAUUUGCCUAUUUUCACGCCUGUAUCUGUGUUUUUGUGCUUUAUGACUACUCUAAUUAGAACAUUUUUAUGGAAGUGUUUUUGUACUGUAACACAUAGUCUUGUCAAAACCAUUCAAGGCAGUUAUGACAAAAAUCCAGGACACACUGGGCCUGUACCUUCAGGUUUCUGCUAUGUGAGUCAUGGAGCUGUGGAAAAAAGAUUCUGCUCUUAUUUAUGAAAAGGACUUGAAACUACCUCCUCCAUCUUUUACCUCAUGCAUGCAAGCUUGUUUUAUAUUGUUUUCUCAAACAGAAAAUCUUGUUUACAUGCUGAGGCAAUAACCAGAAGUGAAAAAUCUUAAAAAGUGUAAUAAAGUGGAGUUUAUCCAGCCAGUUCUACCUACCUCUGUUGCAAAAAAGUACCUACAAAGACUUCAAGCUCUUUGUAAUUCCCUUCUGCAGGUCUAAGAGAUGAUCUUUUACUAAAUCCACUAAGAAAUAAGCAGGCAAAGUGCCUAAUAGUGGAUACUUGGUCUGUGAUUACAUUAGCAUAUUUUAAUUUUUGUGGACUGCUUUAGCAUGGUUGUGCUGUGCAGUACAUAGUGUAAGUGAAAUCCUUUACUUCUUGGACUUCGAUUUUCUGUAAAAUAAAAUAUAAAAGUAGUUUAAUGUAUAUUUAAUGUGUAUUAAGUGUAUAAUUGCAUGUUCUCCAUUCUUAUUUAAAACAGACAUCAUAAAAAAUCCUGAGAUAUUUAAAAUAUAUACUUCCUACUUUUGGAUAAUUAGUCUGAUUGCCUGUAUUUUCACUUUGAGAAACUGAUCAUGCUUCUAAUGAUCAUGCCGCUAAUGAUCAUGCUUCAAUUAUGAAAAUAAGAGCAGGAAGAGUACUUGACUUCUUAAUUACAUAUUUUCAAGGGUAAUUAAUUUCAAAAUUAAUUUCUGAUGUUGUUUCUAUGUGUACAAUAGUUGGGAACAAUGGCAGAAAGCAAAACACUCUUUGUAGGGCCUAUUUUUCAAUCUUCCACUAGCCCAGGCUGCUCAGAGCUCCAUCCAACUUGGCCUCAAACAAUUCCAAGGAUGG
Long non-coding RNA from Parus major (Great Tit), 4255 nucleotides. RefSeq lists it as uncharacterized. The record is from RefSeq and is a predicted model, not a curated record. NCBI's taxonomy places the organism in Eukaryota, Metazoa, Chordata, Aves, Passeriformes, Paridae. The transcript is spliced from 3 exons.